AUGGGGGCGGAAGUCGACGCACUGUACGAGAUCGGCCGCCACGCGACUGGAUCCCACGAAAUCCCUUGUGAAAGAGACGAAACCGCUCGAGCGAGCGGCGGCAGUUCAGGUGAAGGAGGAGGCGUCCUCUCGUAUCUCUCCUUCCAAGGCGUAAGUAAGCUCAGGGAGAGGUGGAGCAGGUACAACACUCUUGGGGGGAGUAAGCGGAGGAAGAGGGAAAAUGCAGCAUCCUUGUUCGUCUCGCGGAAUGCGGAGUAUGUUGCUGUAGCUGUUGGGAACCGCAUUUAUAUCUUGAGAAAGAGCGAUGGCUAUGAAUCACCCUGCGGCAUAUAUACAAACUGUUACAAGUUUUCGGAGCCGGAUAAUAGCGGUGAUGGCUCAGCAUGGGACAGUCGUAUCAUCAGGCUUCGUUUAUUGUGGUACAACGACUUGCUGGAGACAUUCUUGGGAAUUAUUAUGGGAAGGUACAAAGCAAACUGA
Molecule: ribosomal RNA, 480 nt
Filed under: Triticum aestivum (bread wheat)
Lineage: Eukaryota; Viridiplantae; Streptophyta; Magnoliopsida; Poales; Poaceae
Description: partial small subunit ribosomal RNA
Source: RNAcentral